CACGCUAGCAUGCCGGGCUGCUGUGCCUACGGUUGCCGCAACCGUACGACUGAUGGAAAGAAGUUCUUUUCUAUUCCUCGCGGUGAUGAUAACAUCAGCAGACGGAAGAUAUGGCUCCACAGAAUCGGGCGCAAGGAUUUCGUGCCCACUGGAAAUACCCGGCUAUGCGAGAUUCAGUUCUUUGGAUGAUGGUCGAUCCCUAGGCCAGCUGCUUCAAGGCCUAUGAAUAUGCACCCGACUUUAACGAGACAACAAGCCAGCGGGUGAAAAAGCAUCAGCGGGCGACGACAAUGUUGACACGUCUUCAGGCUUUGCAGAAAGGGCACACCGUACGUGUCAAGGGAGACUCAUGGAAAACCAAAGGAAGAGUAAUCAGCGGCGCACGGCCUAGGUCCUACGUGGUAAAGACAGAAAAGGACAGUGUGAUUCGACGAAACCAACAGCAUCUGUUGGCAACGAGAGAGCCAUUUAUUAGUACUUCUGAGGACGAUGCAUCCGAUGAAGCAUCUGACAAUGAGGACCCUAGCCGAGGUCAAAUGCCACAGGCAGGAACGAACAUGGCAGCCCAGGGGCUUAGAAGAUCUACGCGAGACAGAAAGCCCCUGGAAUAGCUAGACAAAAAGCCCCCGUAUGGUGAUAACUUCGUGCGGCGCUCGUAACGAGUUACCACUCAUCCAAUUUUUAUUGUUUUGUUUUGUGUUUAAACUAUUCCAAAUGAAUCAAGGUGUAUAAAUAUGGCAAUCAAAACCUGUGAGGUUGCCCUCGAUGCCGGCACUUAUCGCCGUGCACACUCUACAGUCUUCAACACUCUUUUUCUUACUACCUUUAAAUACAAGCACUCAAUAAACGAAGCAUGUUUUUUUACCGCUCAGAA
This is a long non-coding RNA of Rhipicephalus microplus (southern cattle tick), 874 nucleotides long. NCBI's taxonomy places the organism in Eukaryota, Metazoa, Arthropoda, Arachnida, Ixodida, Ixodidae. The record is from RefSeq and is a predicted model, not a curated record.